AGAAUCAACGCUGGCGGCGUGCCUAACACAUGCAAGUCGCACGAGAAAGGGGAGCAAUCCCUGAGUAAAGUGGCGCACGGGUGAGUAACACGUGAAUAAUCUACCUCCGAGUGGGGAAUAAACUGAGAGAAAUCUUAGCUAAUACCGCAUAAUACCCACGGGUCAAAGCAGCAAUGCGCUUGGAGAGGAGUUCGCGGCCGAUUAGUUAGUUGGCGGGGUAAUGGCCCACCAAGACGAUGAUCGGUA
This 246-nucleotide ribosomal RNA is filed under the name uncultured bacterium. Its description in RNAcentral is "partial small subunit ribosomal RNA". It matches the Rfam family "Bacterial small subunit ribosomal RNA", at positions 26 to 285 of the family's 1533-position model. The record is from RNAcentral.